This 416-nucleotide long non-coding RNA is filed under the name Apteryx rowi (Okarito brown kiwi). Its description in RNAcentral is "lncRNA (ENSARWG00000011374.1)". The record is from RNAcentral. Lineage: Eukaryota; Metazoa; Chordata; Aves; Apterygiformes; Apterygidae.
GGUUUAUGGACAGUCACUCCGUUCUCUGCUUUAUAAGCGUCUGUCUGAGCRUAUCGCAGAGCUAAUUUAGCUAAAUGCACGCCGCAGCCUGUUUGUCAUAUGCCUGCUCUGUCAUCUGGCCUUUCCCUCACCUCCGUCACUUUUGGUCUGUGCCGGUGUCUCUGUAUUUCAGCAGCGGGGCAGGCAGAGGGAAGGCCAGGACGUUAGGCAGACGCAAAAUCUCACCAGAAGUCACAACGCAGAUAUUUAACUACCAUCUGCUCUGGAUAAUCCAAAAAAUGGGACUGAAACACAGCAGUGUUGACAUACGAAGGCAGUGCAAACUGCUGAAACAAAGAAUCAGGAGCUUCGAUUUUGCACAAARCUUAAGUGAAAAAUCUACACCAAUGCAAAUGUUACUAUGCUUAAGGAUGUGA